AGAAAUAAAUUAAUCGUAAAAUAUUUUAACAAUCAAUGCCAAAAGUGUAAAAAAUAACCAACGAAACAAUAAAUUAAAAAAAAAUUAAUUAGAUAUGACGAUACAACAUUAAAUUAAGACCAAAAUGCUUCUAUUUACAUAAUCUUAUUUGAGUACUUUCUUAAGUGUUUGGAAUUUGUUGCAGUGUUUUAAGAAUCAUUUAAAAGGUGUUAGGAUUUUGUUUAAAGAGUGUUGAGAAUAUGUUAAAAGGUGUUGAGAAUAUGUUAAAAUGUUUUAAGGAUUGUUUCAAAAGUUUUAAGAAUCAUUUUAAAGGUUUUAAGAAUUUUUAUAAAUGCUUUAAGAAUAUUCAUAAAUGUUUUAAGAAUCAUUUUAAAGGUAUUUGGAAUUUGGUCGCAAAGUUCUUAGGAUUCAUUCAGGGUGUUAAUUCAGGGAUCAGGGUGAAUUUGUAAUCUUUUUUUAAUCAACAAUUAGCAAUUAACAACUAUUUAAUAUUUUUUAAUGUUUAAAUCUUUUUAAAAAGAAGAAUAAAAUAAAUAUUUGAAUAAAGUACGUAGUUCGA
RNAcentral lists this long non-coding RNA (559 nucleotides) under Piliocolobus tephrosceles (Ugandan red Colobus). Its description in RNAcentral is "lncRNA (ENSPTEG00000003348.1)". Lineage: Eukaryota; Metazoa; Chordata; Mammalia; Primates; Cercopithecidae. The record is from RNAcentral.